This is a long non-coding RNA of Carassius auratus (goldfish), 885 nucleotides long. RefSeq lists it as uncharacterized. The record is from RefSeq and is a predicted model, not a curated record. The transcript is spliced from 6 exons. NCBI's taxonomy places the organism in Eukaryota, Metazoa, Chordata, Actinopteri, Cypriniformes, Cyprinidae.
CUCAGACACCGUCUGAACCACUUCAGGAUCGUCAAUUGUUAAAGCCGUGUGUUCAAUUUUAAUGUAUCCUGUCUACUUUACGACAUCAGUAAUUCAAUAACUGCUGUGUAGAAGGAAGAUUUCAUCAUGGAGUGUUUUAAUGAUGAGAACAACAUGAAGAUCAUUCUGCUUCAGUUCUAUGUAUUAAUCUGUUGUCAGUAUGCAGUGUCAGAUCUAUUAACUGAUCUGGGAUCAAAUGUGAUCAUAAACUGUGAUCUUGAUGAAACUGAGGUUUAUUGGAUUUUACUGAAAGCAGCAGAUCCUCCAGCAGUCAUUCUACGAUCAAUGUCAGCUACAACAUCACCUUUUUAUUUAAAUGAUACAUUCAGAAAGAAAUAUUCAGUGCAGUUUAAACAUGGUCUGGUUAUUAAUAAUGUGACUGCUGAUGAAUUAGGAGUUUAUUAUUGUAUGAACACACGCACACCUCCAAAACUCAGCAACAGCACCAGAAUAUACUUCAACGAAUCAGCUCAACUGAGUCACAAUCAGACACGAGUCGAGUUCACUGAUCAGAAUCAAACACAAUGGCAGAUGAUUAUUAUUAUCAUAUCUGCUCUGAUGAACGGGCUUCUGAUCAUUGUGGUGAUCGUUUUUGCUGUUGGAAAAGCAGAACAGUUGGAAAAACAUAAUCAUAAUACUGAUCUGCAAACACGAGUUAUAUAUCAACCUCAAGAACCAAACCAAUUUCUUCAAUUGUAAAUUCACUGAGGUGGAAAAUAUUCAGCAAGUAAACAGCACCUUUGUGACUCUUUAACAUGUGCUUAUCAUGUGCUAUAUUCUUUUACAGAGUAAUAAUAUGAGUAUUUGGGACACUUUAUACAUCUUACUCUAGUGAAUUCUGUAAAA